This is a non-coding RNA of Phoenix dactylifera (date palm), 2066 nucleotides long. The record is from RefSeq and is a predicted model, not a curated record. Lineage: Eukaryota; Viridiplantae; Streptophyta; Magnoliopsida; Arecales; Arecaceae.
AAUAACAAACAGCUGGUUCCAAUGAUAAACGAAAGCAUUAAGCCUUUCGAACCCAUAACGGUACGCGGUUAGAGCAAAAAAUUGGUCGAUCGACAGAACAUGAUGUUUUCUUCGGCAAAGACUACAGAAACGUUGCCUCUGUUCGUACUCGUUUGACCUCCCAGAAGAAGAAGUUUGCAGGGGCUCUCCGGAGCCAAAUGUCUCAGAGUCUGAAGGGAUUGGAAAUGGGUUGCCAGGCCAAGGCGGGACUUGUCCUCCCAGCAACAGGUGAUCAUGUUGAAGAAGUGGUUGAUGCAAUCAAGGUUGGGCAAGUUAUUGCAGUGCUGACCAACACCCUGUAUGGAUUUGCUUGUGAUGCAUGGAAACAUUAUCUGACUGUCCUCAAGUUGAUUGCCAUCCUAUACACUCUGAUGAAACAGAAUCAGGGUCUUCUGUAAGCUCCAAAGAGGUUGGGCAACCAAGUCCCGUCGCCUUGCUUGAGCUACCAUCAGAAGAGAAAGUCCAGUUUGGGAUGUUUCAAGAGGGCCAGUGCAGAACUUAAGGGUAGUUGGGGAAAAAAAUAAAGAUAUUGUAUUUCAUUCAUUCCAUAACAAUCAUUCUUUUGUUCACAUGUUCUACCCUUUACAAUUCACUUUCUUGUUGCAGAGCUCCAAAUUCAGCUUCAAUUUCUGCAGCUGGAGUCAGUUGAUGCAUAUGCAAAGAGAUCAGAGCUGCUCGUAUCAGGUGAUGUGGAUAUUAGAGGAGAUUGUCACUCCCUUCAACAGGCAGGAGAUACCCUACAAGAACUCAGGGAUGAAGAGGACAGAGACUUCUAAUACCUACUUGACUUUCUCAUUGAUUCUGGCAUUCAUGCUGCCAGGCAGGACAGGCUUUACAGUUCAUGCUACUGUCCAGAAUAUCCAGUAGGCCCAGGCAUGUUUAAAAAGCUUGAAAAGAAGUACAACAAGCUGGUGGCAUGGUCAAGAUCAGAGAAAAGGCUGUUUUUGAUCUUAUAAACAACAUUCUUGCUGAGAUCCUGGCCCCAUGCAUGGAUCUGCACCCAUGGGUGAAGUCCAACAGAAGGAUCAGGCCCACAUGGGGCUGUGAGGGGCUAGUUGAGAAGUUAUGGCAGAUAUUGGUUAAACAGCGGAAAGAACUGGAUGUAGGUAAUCCGGAGGAGAAGGUCCUGGAUUUUAAGUGGUUAGAAUGAGGAGAUGAUGGCGAUGUGGGAAGGGAGAUUGAGAAAAUGUUGAAGGAGGACCUUUUGGAAGAACUUGUUUCAGAGUUCAUUAGGUUAGCUUUUGGAAGAAAAUAUAUUUGGCAACUACAUGCUCCUGUCUAGAUGAUCACCGCCCGAAAUAGAAAUAGGAAGUUUCAUAUAUUCAGGAAUGUCUUGUGGGCUUUGAUCUGGCCAUGUUCUGGUCUAAUGGGUAUCAUCUACGGCCAUCAAAGUUCAGAAGGUUGUUAUAAGUCGUGUGUCAUCAUCUUCCGUUUGCUGAAGAGCUUAACCCCACUAGCAGGUGUUAAUGCAUCUUCUUCAGUACAAUUACCAAAGAAAAGCACUUGUUACUUCUGGGUUUAGCAUCGAACUGGUGAAGCAUCGCAUACCCAUCUUAUGCAGGUGGUGUGUGAUUUAGCUGAUAGCUGUCUUUGUUGGUCUGCCCUGAUACCUCACACCAAAAGCAAUUUUCAGCAGUGGUGAGAAUUUUUGGUGGUUCAAGAGAUGGAUAUGACUGUGAAUGUGUGCCUCAUUAUGGUUGGUCUAAACACAAUCAUUCGGAGCCAAAUAUGAAAUGCCUUAAAUCCUAAGUCUCUGACUGUGGUAUCUCACAAUAGUGAAGCAUGACAAAAGAAAUGCAUGGAGUAGUGAAAUAAAAAAUGAAAUGAUGAGGAUGGAGAACUAGCAAGACAAAAGGAGCCCAUAUUGAAGAAAAAAAUUGUAUAAUUUCGUUAUUUUAUGUCCAGCAAUUUUAAGUUGGCUAAAGUUUGUCUGUUUUUGUCCCUGUGCAGUGGGCUAGGUAGCUUGAGUUUAAUGUAUCCGGAUGCAGAACACUUGUGCUACAUGAAAUUAGCCUUGCUUUGAAAUA